GCCCCGGUAAACGGCGGCCGUAACUAUAACGGUCCUAAGGUAGCGAAAUUCCUUGUCGGGUAAGUUCCGACCUGCACGAAUGGCGUAAUGAUGGCCAGGCUGUCUCCACCCGAGACUCAGUGAAAUUGAACUCGCUGUGAAGAUGCAGUGUACCCGCGGCAAGACGGAAAGACCCCGUGAACCUUUACUAUAGCUUGACACUGAACAUUGAGCCUUGAUGUGUAGGAUAGGUGGGAGGCUUUGAAGUGUGGACGCCAGUCUGCAUGGAGCCGACCUUGAAAUACCACCCUUUA
This 293-nucleotide ribosomal RNA is filed under the name Escherichia coli. RNAcentral's name for it is "partial 23S ribosomal RNA". It matches the Rfam family "Bacterial large subunit ribosomal RNA", at positions 1917 to 2209 of the family's 2925-position model. Lineage: Bacteria; Pseudomonadati; Pseudomonadota; Gammaproteobacteria; Enterobacterales; Enterobacteriaceae. The record is from RNAcentral.